AGAGUUUGAUCAUGGCUCAGAUUGAACGCUGGCGGAAUGCUUUACACAUGCAAGUCGAACGGCAGCACGGACUUCGGUCUGGUGGCGAGUGGCGAACGGGUGAGUAACAUAUCGGAACGUAUCCAAUAAUGGGGGAUAACUAAUCGAAAGGUUGGCUAAUACCGCAUACGCCCUACGGGGGAAAGCUAGGGACCUUCGGGCCUGGCGUUAAUGGAGCGGCCGAUAUCUGAUUAGCUAGUUGGUGGGGUAAAGGCCCACCAAGGCGACGAUCAGUAGCUGGUCUGAGAGGACGACCAGCCACACUGGAACUGAGACACGGUCCAGACUCCUACGGGAGGCAGCAGUGGGGAAUUUUGGACAAUGGGCGCAAGCCUGAUCCAGCCAUUCCGCGUGAGUGAAGAAGGCCUUCGGGUUGUAAGGCUCUUUCGCAAGGGAAGAAAACUUACCCUCUAACAUAGGGUGAGGUUGACGGUACCUUGAUAAGAAGCACCGGCUAACUACGUGCCAGCAGCCGCGGUAAUACGUAGGGUGCGAGCGUUAAUCGGAAUUACUGGGCGUAAAGCGUGCGCAGGCGGUUUUGAAAGUCAGAUGUGAAAUCCCCGAGCUCAACUUGGGAACUGCGUUUGAAACUCCAAAACUCGAAUAUGUCAGAGGGGGGUAGAAUUCCACGUGUAGCAGUGAAAUGCGUAGAGAUGUGGAGGAAUACCAAUGGCGAAGGCAGCCCCCUGGGAUAAUAUUGACGCUCAUGCACGAAAGCGUGGGGAGCAAACAGGAUUAGAUACCCUGGUAGUCCACGCCCUAAACGAUGUCUACUAGUUGUUGGUGGAGUAAAAUCCAUGAGUAACGCAGCUAACGCGUGAAGUAGACCGCCUGGGGAGUACGGUCGCAAGAUUAAAACUCAAAUGAAUUGACGGGGGCCCGCACAAGCGGUGGAUUAUGUGGAUUAAUUCGAUGCAACGCGA
RNAcentral lists this ribosomal RNA (962 nucleotides) under uncultured bacterium. Its description in RNAcentral is "bacterial SSU rRNA". It matches the Rfam family "Bacterial small subunit ribosomal RNA", at positions 8 to 964 of the family's 1533-position model. The record is from RNAcentral.